RNAcentral lists this long non-coding RNA (13796 nucleotides) under Lynx pardinus (Iberian lynx). Lineage: Eukaryota; Metazoa; Chordata; Mammalia; Carnivora; Felidae. The record is from RNAcentral.
GGGGCCCGGAACCGAGAGGGAGGCCCCGUUCAGGAGGCGCAAGAGGCACCCCGAUGAGCCGGGCCGGUUCGCCGUCGCCCUGGUCAUCAUCUACCGGACCCUGGGGCAGCUCCUGCCCGAGCACUAUGACCCUGACCGCCGCAGCCUCCGGUAAGGCUUUCCUAAGUUGCCACCCGGACGUCUGAGGACGUCACCCCGUGACCCUGGUGCAAGGCCGCAGACCGCUACCUGCGGUCUCCCGGGGACGAGGUUCUGGGUCUCCGGGCGGGGCCUUCCCUGGUGUUUCUGCCGGGAGCGCCCCCUCCCCAGCACACACCCCGCUCGUGCCUCGAUGGACACCGUUGCUGCCCUGCACUCCGCAGCCCGGGGGACUGUUCCCCUCGCACCCGUGUGCCCCGGGCCGCCGGUGGCCCCCCUUCUGCCUGGAGAAACGAACGCCGCCCACGGGGGCUUCGUGGCCCCCCUCAGAGCUGGGCCGCCACCGAGGCUUUGCUUUCCAACCGUCGUAUCAUUCUCCACACGUGUCCCUGGCUCCCCGGUGUUCAUACUCCUCCUUCUUCGUGGCCGGAUGAGAUUCUGCCAUGAGGUGUAAUUAUUCCGAGCUCCGGUCGUUUCCAGGGCUUCCACAAGGUCAGCGACACCCUCGCACACACCCCUUCUUUCUCUUCAUUUUAAUUUAUUUAAAAAAAUUAUUUUUAAUGUUUAUUUAUUUUUGAGACAGAGAGAGAGACAGGGGAGCAGGGGAGGGGCAGAGAGAGAGGGAGACACAGAAUCGGAAGCAGGCUCCGAGCCAUCCGCACAGAGCCCGACGCGGGGCCCGAACCCACGAACCGCGAGAUUGUGACCUGAGUCGAAGUCAGUCGCUCAACUGAGCCACCCAGGGGCCCCAUCUUUCUCUUCAUUUUUAAAUGUCCGAAGUCCGCCUCUGACCCAGACGUGCCGCCCACGUCCCCCGCGCCUGCCCUGGCCGUCGCAGAGCUGCUGCCUGGCCCGGGCCCUUCUCCGGAGCAGCGGCUGAGGCUCCAGCUCUGCCCUCCUGGGAAGACGUCCGCCCCGUGUGUCCCUGGGGCGUGUCCUGGGGCACAGGGCUUAGACGAGUGUCUUCUGAGUGUCUAACCCUGUGUUCCCGCUUCUCCCCCCGCCCCCAGGUUGCCUAACCGGCCGGUCAUUAACACACCGGUGGUGAGCGCCGUGGUUUACAGCGAGGGGGCCCCGCUCCCCAGCCCCCUGGAGAGGCCCGUCCUGGUGGAGCACACCCUGCUGGAGACCGAGGAGCGCACCAAGCCCGUCUGCGUGUUCUGGAACCACUCCAUCACGUAAGGGUGACGUGAGGAGUCGGCAGCCACUCCCACCCCCAGAGUUCUGCGUUUAUGGGGGGAGGGGUCAUUGCUACAGCCCCCAACACUGUUGGCAGAGUGUCUUACGGGGCAGGAGGCGCAUCCUGGGCGUGUCAGAGUCCCCCAACACAGUCCCACAUGCGCACGUGCACAUCUGUGUGUGCACGGAUGUACGCGGCUAGGAACACAGACAGGCACCCGUGUGCACCCGUGCGCACAGAUGCUCAUAGACGUCCCCCGGGAAGGUCCACACAGAGACAGCGCCGUGCACCUGUUGGACUCCGCGAUCCGGCAACCAACGAGUGCCUGAUCGCCUCCAGACUAGGCAGGGGCUCGUUCUAGAUGCGCAUAUGAGGCAGGAGUCAGAGACCGGGCCCAGGGCCCCUUCCACGGACAGCAGAAAGUCCCAGAUGUGUGUGUGUGGGUUGGGGGGCGGGCAUCCUUUUAACAGCCAGCGGUCCCUGACCUCACCUGCCCGCCCGUGAGAUCAACCCAGCUGCCGCUGGGGCUGCUUUUACCCCUCGGAGGCCAUACUCGCCCCCCCUCCCCCCCGCCUCCAUGCUUGAAAUGAGGAUGGAACUUUGUGCAUCUGGGGGUUUGUUUCUGCGCCUCGCGGACAUUCCCUAACGCCGUGGUUCACGUGGAUGGAGAAGGUGUCCGCCAGGCAGGGCUCCAGCCGCGCUGUGCUGGGAGCUGGUCCCCAGGGAGAGCCCUGCAAGGGGCUCCCCCUGGGCCACGGGCUCGGCUGCACAGAGACCUCGUGUCUCCUUGAUUUCCCAAAUUCUGGUUAAUGAGCAGCCAACAUCGUGUCUGGAGUAUAAUAGACGCUUGGCUCACAAAAGAGAGAAAGAAGGACCCGCUUUCACCGCGAGGGAAGCGUGAAGGUCUGUUUGGCAUGUGUUAGGCACGGCAGUCUCUCAUGGUCGCCCGAUUGAAUCCCAGCAAUUAGCUGUAGCUCUAAUUACACUCUGGCUGCUUUCUGUGGUACCUAUCACCCCCAGAUCUUAGCGCUCUUGACAAACUGGUAUUAGCCUUCACGUCCCAUUUCACAGGGGCGUAAACUAAGGAUCAGAGAACUUACUUGAUUUUCCCAGAGUCAGGGAGGGCAGGGCGCUCUCUGAGCCUGAGACACGCCUGUAGCAGCCCGUAGUCAUCUGGGGUUUCCCAUCAGUAAAACGGGGGUAAUAAUCGGCCCCUGCUUCCGGGCGCUGCCGUAAGACGUUGUGCAAUCUGCAGAUGAGAGCGUGAAACGAACGUGAGACACUAUUUCGUAAACCACCUAGACUCAAAAGAAGACUGAAGUACAAAGCGGCCAUUGUAACCACUAUUAUUUCGGACAAAAGGGGCGUCCGGUGACCUCAGACAUCCCCAUUUAAGUUUUACUGCGAGAUGACGCAUAAACCACGAACUUCAGAGGGUAGAGGCACUCCCCCGCCACGAGAGGGAAGGGAGAGUGUCCACGCGGUCCCAAGCGCUGCUGUCCUCCUAGAGGGUGACCGUGGCUUCCGUCUCGGGCGACGUGAGGAUGCCGCGCCGGCUCCCACGGGGGCAGCUGGGCCUCGGAGACCCCCUGGAGGAAGCAGCCGUCUCACGCCUGCCUUUCCUCUGCAGCAUCGGCGGGACCGGAGGGUGGUCGGCCAAGGGCUGCGAGCUUCUGUCCCGGAACCGGACCCACGUCGUCUGCCAGUGCAGCCACACCACCAGCUUUGCCGUGCUCAUGGAUGUCUCCAGACGAGAGGUGGGCGCGGCCCCCACGGGCAGCCCUGCCCAGCUGGCGAGUGUGUCCAGGGAUGAAUCCCUUUGCACAGCUAGCCUCCCCCCAGACCUGCCCCCUCAACGAGUCCUGUCUUCCCUCCCGGGCAUCUCCAACAAACCCAGUCCACGGUUAAAACCUGUGUUUGGGGGGGGCCUGGCCAGAGUCUGCCAGGAUUUCCAGAACAAAACUCCUUGGAAAGAGUUUUCAAAGAGCCCGGCCGUAAAUUAAAACCCACGGUGGGAGACCCUGAGCCUCAGACUGAAGAAGGCCCUAGAAUAUACCCUUACUUCAAAGCAGGAUUCUCUGUGUUUUUCUACCCCACUUUAUUUUAUUUUACUUUAUUUAUUUAUUUUUAAUGUUUAUUUUUGAGAGAGAGAAGGUGGGGAGGGAGAGAGCGCACAUGUGAGCAGGGGAGAGGGGCAGAGAGAGGGGGCACAGAAUCCGAAGCAGGCUCCAGGCUCCGAGCCAUCAGCACAGAGCCCGACGAGGGGCUCGAACCCGCGAACCGCGAGAUCGUGACCUGAGCCGAAGUCAGACACUUAACCGACUGAGCCACCAGGCGCCCCUAUAAAGUUUUUUUUAAUGGAUAUUUAUUUUUGAGAGACAGAGACAGAGCACAAACAGGGAGGGGCAGAGAGAGAGGGAGACACAGAAUCGGAAGCAGGCUCCAGGCUCUGAGGCGUCAGCACAGAGCCCGACGAGGGGCUCGAACCCGCGAACCGUGAGAUCGUGGCCUGAACUGAAGUCAGACGCUUAACCGCCUGAGCCACCCAGGCGCCCCUGUUUCUACCCCGCUUUAAAUUUUAAGGGAGGAAAGAGCCGGCUGGCCGGAACAAAGCGAGUGUCUCCCGUUAGCACGAGACACGCGUGCUGGCCCCCGGAGACUCAAAGGAGGGGGCUCGGUCAGGAGCCACGGAGGCCGGCUAAUGUUUAACCCCCUCGCAUUUUCCACGGCCUGGGAAUGCAAGCCGGCCUCUGCCAGCCUGAGGGUGGAUGGGGUGAAUAGAGCAGCGGGCCCCCCAGCAGGCAUGGCAGCGGGGUCAGCCUGGGCCCAGACGUGUGUAGACGUUGGUGUCUCAGAGCCAGAAGGGAGGCCUCACCUGUCACCUUUGUUUCAGACCUGGGAUGUGUCCUGGGAGGCCAGGCCGUCGUCCCUCCCGAGGGCCCUCUGGUGUGCAGGGGACCAAAUUUGUGUCCCACUGUUGGGAGGGUAACAGCCGUGAGUUGCUGCUGAUGGCGGCCAGGGUGACGAGAGGGGAGGGUGUGCCCCCAAGGCUUCCCCUGACCGUGGAGCUGCUCUGAGCAGGUGGCACUUAGGAGCAGGGAGCCCUGGGUUCUGACCUGGAGGGGGUGUGUUAUUAGUGGCCCUUGUCCACCUAGGGGCGGGAUGGGGGGGACCUCCCCGAGCCAGGAAGCUGGGCACUGCCGGGAGCAGACUAACAGGUGGGGAAAGCCGAAGUUCGGUGACGUGAAGUCAAACGGGAAUAGGACUCCCUGCUCCCUGCCCCGGUGCCUCAGGGCCAGAGCCCUCUCGACAGCCGGACGCAGCCUCCGGGCCUCCCCAGUGCUGCACCUGCACGGGCCGCAGAAGGAGAGAGCCCUGAGCCCUCAGCGCCCCGGUCCCAACCCUGUCCCGGCUCCCAGCCUUACCCUGGGUGGCCCGGCUCGCAAUUCUGCUCGAGUCGUGAGUUCAGAGCGCUUUCCGGAAGUUACUGGAGAGCCGAAGCUGGUCGUUUCCCAAGUGCCAAGACUCCGCCCGGGCACCGGGCCCUGGACAAACGGCCCGUUUUGCAGAAGCACAGGAGACAGUUGCAGUCCGUGCCGCUGGGGCACAUCUGCCUGCUGCGUAAAGUGAGGGUCUGUCUGGAAGAAGUCCCUCUCGGCUCAGAAUUUGGGGCAGGUGGGCUCCGCACCUCCUGGAGAGUCGGAUUUACGUGCGAGGCUUUCUGUGUCAUCCGCGCUCGUGUUUCUUGUGAUGGCAAAACACACACAACACAGGUGCACUCCCUUAGCCACGUUUAAGUGGACCGUCCGUUCACCGAGCUGUGCCCCCACCACCCGGUCCCCUUUUGCCCCCCACCCCCCAGCGAUUCAUUUGGCUUUUGUCCUCAGUUCUUCGCCAGCCUGGGAACCACGUCACGGCCGCGUUGGUUCCUGUCUGUGAUAGUUGCUACGUUAAUGAGACUUUACUGUCCAAAACCUCCAUCAGAGCGAGGCCCUUACGUUCUCCUGCCUCGCCCCACCUGCCCGCAGCACGGGGAGGUCCUGCCCCUGAAGAUCGUCACCUACGCUGCCGUGUCCUUGUCCCUGACCGCCCUGCUGGUGGCCUUCGUCCUCCUCACGCUGGUGCGGACUCUGCGCUCCAACCUGCACGGCAUUCACAGGAACCUCAUCGGGGCCUUGUUCUUCUCCCAGCUGGUCUUCGUGAUCGGGAUCACCCAGACCGGAAACCCGGUGAGGCCCCUCUGCCCCCUCUGCUUGCGGGUCCCACCCUUGUCCGAGGCCGGGGCACGUGACUCGCGAGGGAGCGAGGGGAAGUGGCCGCAGCGCAGACGCUGAGUGGGUUGGCCUGGAGGGAGGAGGGAGAGUGGGAGGUGAGCUGAGGCUAGCGGGGGCCCAGGGCUGGUGGGCCUUCUGUAGGAUGCGAGAGAGCUUAGCCCCCGACGUGUCGGGGUGGAGGGAGGGACGGGCUGCCGGCCUCGGCAAGGUCCCCGGGGGCUGGGGUGGGGAUCAGCCGACGUGACAGGUAGUAGGGAGAAGCACAGGGAAUCUUGGCGGUUUGUGGCUUAGGCAGCGCCUGGCUGGGGGCAAAGCAGUUUCCCGUUUCUACAAAGGGGACUUGUAGAACACCAGGGUCACAGCACAGCAUGCCCACGGGGGGCACGGGUGGAGGUGUAGGCUGUGUGCCCAGGCUCUACACACACGCCUGGGCUUACUGGAUCCCCCCGGGGCCCCGGGAGUUGGGGGCAUCCCUUCUCACAGGUGAGGAGCCAGGACCCGAGAGCUUGAGGGACUGUCGGAGGCACACGGCACGCCCUGUGCGUGUUCCCUUGUGCGUCCGUCACAAAGUGGGGACCCUGAUAGCCCUGGGGAGACGCGAGGCCAGCUGAGCACCACACGUGCAGAUGCAGUGAGGGCGGGAAGCGCACAGGUUAUUCUCGCCUGACCCCGAUCUCUGCCAGGGCGAGCCGUGAGCCCUCACUCUCUCUCACUGGGCCCUUCCGAGGGCACCGCCACCAAUUGCUGGUGACAUGGGGGCCGCUUCUUCAUUCCCCUUGCAGCAGGGACCUAGCGAUUGUCACUCUGUCACACCCACCAGAGACCCGGAUCCCACAGACCCUCCCGUCCCUGCCCGUGGAGUCCACCUUCCCGACGCGGACGCAAAUCGCGGCUCAUGAGUUUCACGUGCCCAAAUGGUGCCAUGGUGGCAGGUGGGGGGCUGGGCCCGGUUAGGGAAGGGCUGACCAUGCGAUGGGAGGGGUCCAGGAUGAGUGGGGACGGGUUGGGUGUCGACCGGAGCCCUAGGGGCCACGCCAGGCAUUGUGCUGUGGAGAGCCAUGACCGGGGCCGCAUGGCAGGAAGGUGACCGGAGGGCAGAGUCACAGCCAGGGUGGGGUUGUUCGUCCUGCGUCCACGGGAUGGAGGCCUAGCACCAGGACAGCAGGCACGGGUGGACGGCGGGCGUCGGGGCCAAGUGCACAGGGAGACCGGAGGGAAGGUGCCUUAGGUCUCCAGAAGGGGAACAAGCAGGGGAGGAUGCCACCAAGUGAGAGGGACACUCGGUGGCUGGCCACGCUGCUGGGGGCUGGGGAGAGUGUGGAGAGGUGCGUGGGGAGGCGAUCCCGCCCGUGACAAAGAAAUGUAUGCGAAUGGGCCAGCCCUAGCGGAGGAAGAAGGCGUAUAUAAAAAGACAUAGAAUGUUCUAGCCCACUGGUCAGGGCCACUUGCAUGCCUGGGCUCCUCCUCCUCCUUGUUGAGACCCCCUCAGGUGGCCCGACCUCCUCAGGAGGAAGGGGGGAGGUCGAGGCAGGGUGUCACAGGCAGACAGCCUUGAAGGCCUCAGGGACUUCGCGGCGGUGACUCAUGUAGCAGCGGGCCCGGCAGAGGACAGACCCGCAAGCAUUUGCCAGCCUGCCCUCCAGGGUGCCCCUUGGACUGGGGGGAGGGCCCCAGGGCGGUGCCGGGCAGGGGUUUCUGGGCAUCCGGCCGGGCAGGUGCGCCUCUGCCCGAGCGCAGGUCCUUAUCGGCGCAUCAGACAGGUGAAGGCUCUGGGUGGGAAGCCACAUGACUCAUUUCAAGCCCUUCAAGCGUGCCCUUGAGUGGUCUCAGCAGCGGGGAAUGUGGAGUCGGCCGAGCCGCACCUUGCAGCUAAGUAGCACGUGUGAAACGCAGGGAGGCCGCCCGCUUAUUUCGAGCACUGACUCAUCCCCCUGCCAGGAAUGAGCUUUCAGCCAGCGGCGCACUGGGGAGCCGGGAGGGCAGGAGUGCCGGCCGCACAUAACUAGGGGCCUGGCUCGGCGCCUGGGUUUUAUGGGGUUUCUGCAAACUCGCAGGCCCAUCUCUGGGCGAGGUGUUUCAUCUCCCGGAUCACUGGCAGGUUAAAAUGAUUUAUCGUGCAUUAGCAUUUUGUCUGUGUUCUGUUUCUGCAGAAGGUAGUACGUUUAGUGCAGAAGUCUGUGCGUGUAGAGCCCCAUUAAAUUGUGAAAUGUAUUUCUAACUAUUUUUUUUUAAAAGGUGGUUUUUGUGGGUUUACUUUUCACAUUAUUUAAGGCAACACGCCAGCCCACCUCACUGUCCUAUCUUUUCUGAGCCAACUGCGCUCUGCGUACGGGGCACGCUGGGGCCGUUUGGUGUGGGGUUCCUCUGCCCCGGGCUCGCCCUUGGCAUCCCGAUGGCCCUGCCCAUCGCUAAGGGCAGACUCUCCCGUCUCCUGACUCUUGAGUCAGGCAAAGGGCAGGAUGUCCACUCAUAAUCUAAGAUGCUGUGUUUCCUUCUUUGUCCUGUGUUUGACGAAUGUAAAUGCUAAAAUCGUUUCCUCCCACGUCUCCGGGGUUCAGAAGAACCUGGUCUGUGGAGGUUGACGUGGCAACGGGCGUCACUUAAGUGCCCAGCCGGUCCGUGCUCUGGUGAGCUCCCCACGGGGAACACCGAGCUGGCACCUGAGCCGAGCAGCCUUCAGUGUGGGUCAGGGUGGUGGCCCUGUGUCUCCUACUCCUGUGUCUGUUGGGUGGGGUGGGGGUGGGGUCUCCCUGGGACCCCUGGGAACCUGGGAGCUUGUGCUGAUGGGGCAGCAGCCAGGAUUGGACAGAAUGUCUCGGGAAUGGGGCGGACUGUGGCCUGGGGGAGGGGUAGUCGUAGCCCUGUAGCCUGGAGUCGGGCCAGGAGGGGCACUGCUGGGUGUGGGUGGGGCCAAGAGUGGGUGGGCCCAAGAGGGGCGGGGUUUGGGGGAAGGAGGGCCCCCGGGACCUGGAUGUGGGUGUGGCUGGGAGGGGCGGGGGUGUGGGUGGGGCCAGNNNNNNNNNNNNNNNNNNNNNNNNNNNNNNNNNNNNNNNNNNNNNNNNNNNNNNNNNNNNNNNNNNNNNNNNNNNNNNNNNNNNNNNNNNNNNNNNNNNNNNNNNNNNNNNNNNNNNNNCAGGAAGAGCAGGGCCUGGGUGUGGGUGGGGCCAAGGGCUGGGUGGGUGGGGCCAAGAGGGCGGAGCCUGGGGCUUUCUCUUCCCGCCCCUCUCACAGUUACCCUCUCCGUAGCGCCUCACCAGCUUCUUAGGACCUGGCGGGGCACCUGCCCACAUCUUGCAGCCAGCCAGGCUCGGGACCCCUGGCCAGCUCAGCCCCUCCCUGUGAGGCUGCUCUGGACCAAGGCACAGGGCUGUUCGAGGUCCCUCCUAGAGCACCUCGCACUGCACUUUCACUGGUGGCCUCAGAGACUUGACUCCCUGUGACCAGCGUCCCCAGCCCCUCCCCGAUGCUGCUUUCUUCCCAUUUGAAGGGACACGGGGCUGGCCCACCAAGACCUGGAGAGGCCGGGAUGCUGACCCUCGGCUGCCCUGUGGAAGUUGGUUUUCUCCUCCCACUGGUGGGGGGGGUUGUAGCGCUGCCCAGCUGAGGACUGAGACAGAGCAAAUACUCUCUCGUCUCUGUUCUUUUUGGGAGGCAGGAAGUAUAUGGCUCCGUGAACUCAGUGCGGGCAGGAUGAACUUUUUACCUGACAGGUCACGAAGCGUGGGGCCUCCCCCCCCCCUCUGACCACACCUGCUGGACUCUGGAGACCCACACAAGGGUCCAGGGCGGUGGGUGACGGCCAGCAUCACAGCCUGAACCGCUGCCUCUGUGUUUCUUGAACUUUAAAGCCAGUGUCACGAACAUGCACGUUUCCAGCUUCAAAUGGAAACCCUAGAGGUUCUGCCUACCGUCCGCCCCCUGGCUGGAUCGGUCCAGGCACCGAUCUGGGUUGAGGAAUGGGUCCCCCGAGGCCCCCAGCAGCCUCACUUCCUGUCCUCUGUUCCACGGUGGGAGCCUGAGGCGCUGUGACUGUUCGUGCCCAGCCAUUCCGGGUGAACCAAAUAGGAAAACCAACUCACUCGGCUUCCCUUCUCAGACCUCCGUACCCUCACGUUUGCAAAGUGGUGUGAUUUGGUCACUAGCCCCCCCCCCCCCGCCCCCCCCCCCCCCCGCCCUGUGCCCCUUUGGCCCUCGGCCCCAGGCGCGGCAGGCGCGGGCUCCCGCGGGGCUGGCACUGAGCCGCACUCCCUUCCGCACAGUUCCUGUGCACGGUGAUCGCCAUCGUCCUGCACUACGUCUACAUGAGUACCUUCGCCUGGACCUUUGUGGAGAGCCUGCACGUGUACCACAUGCUGACCGAGGUGCGCAACAUCGACGCCGGGCCCAUGAGGUUCUACUACGUUGUGGGCUGGGGCAUCCCGGCCAUCAUCACAGGUGAGGACUCGAGCAGCGGCCCGGCUGGGGUGGCCUGGAUAGGGCACCCGCCACCGUUUGGGGAAUCCGCGUGGCGCUGCCGACACAGGUGCCCGUGUCAGGUGAGCCCGCGCCCCCGGGCCCAGGCGGACGAGCCCUCUGGCCUCCUCUGCCUUUGGUACCCAGCUCGACUGGCCCCCAGCGGAGGAGCCUCUGCCCUUGGGUCUGCACACACGAGCGUGAGCCUUCGGCGCCCGCUGCGGGGGUGCGUGUCCCGUCAGGUGUGGGCUCCCUGGGAGCUGAGGCGGGUCCGUUCGGGCUUCCGUCUGUGGCCGCUGACACACAAAAACUCCACGUUCGCCCGCUGUGUGCAUGGCUGGGUGUGGAUGUGUGGUCUCUAUGUAGCAUGUACGUGGAGUGUGUGUGCAGGGCUGGGAAUGCCCGUCCCGUGACCACGCGCCCCCCCGGGAGGAGCUUCUCCCGCGUGUGGCCCUCACCCCCUCCCCUGCUGUCCAGGACUCGCGGUGGGCCUGGACCCCCAGGGCUAUGGAAACCCCGACUUCUGCUGGCUGUCCCUUCGAGACACCCUCAUCUGGAGCUUUGCCGGGCCCAUCGGAACGGUUAUAAUUGUGAGUCCGGGAGUUCCGCAGAGCCCACGAUUCUCGGGACGUGGGAAGUGGGGUGCACGGGCUGGAGGCGGUUUUGGGGGCCAGCGGCUCCUCAGAGUGGCCUGUUGGGCGGGAAGGCCUGACCUCACGGCGACGAGGCCUUGCCCUUAGGCCUGUGGAUUCCGGGUUUCCUUCCACGUCCAGGUCCACGGUGAGGCCGCCCAUUCCAGCCUCUCCUCGAGAUGCAGGCACAGACCCUCCAAAGCGUUUGGUCUUUGGAGAUCUGUUGAAGUGAUACCCACGAGCUGGCCGCCUGACUUUGGUGUUUUUGGAACUUUUUUUUAGGUCAACACAGUCAUUUUUGUCCUGUCUGCAAAGGUGGCCUGUCAGAGAAAGCACCAUUAUUACGAAAGGAAAGGAGUCAUGUAAGUGGGCGCCAACCCCCGGGGCAGGUCUGCACUCCCAGCAGAGCCCCCGGAAAGCGCCUGUCACCCAGCGGCCAGGCCCUCGGCCACUCCCCAGCUUGGCCACUGGGGUGGCCUCGUGGGUGGGUGGGCAGGGCAAAGUGGGGAGAGGCCAGGGGCGCUGGGGCGCAUUGUGGGGGAGAGGGAGGGGGCCCGGGGAGAGGGGCGCGGGGAUCCCGGAGAUGUUGGGGCGGAGGACCCGCGGCGUUUGGUGGUCGAGACGCUGAGGGCUGAGGGGGGAGGGGCAAGCGAUGAGGCUUGGGCUCUGUCCCCCUCACCGGGUCAUGUUAACAGAUGGGGAUGGAAAGGGGAGGGACGAUGACAGCGGGUGGGGGGAGGUGCCGAGGUGCAGGGCAGGACGCAGCAGAGUGGGGUCAGGCAGGGUGCGGUGGGGGGUGCUCUGGAACUUUCUGGGUCGAUGACGACGGUGAUGUUGCGCCCCGCAGGAGUGGAGAGGUGGCGGGUGCUUUAAAAUGGUUUUGGGAAGGAAGGGAGGGAGGGGUGGACCAACGGGCGCACCCCUGUGGAGGGGAGGGCGGGGCCGAGAGUCACUCCCGCCCCUCCCCCCCGCAGCUCCCUGCUGCGCACCGCCUUCCUCCUGCUGCUGCUCACCAGCGCCACCUGGCUGCUGGGGCUGCUGGCCGUGAACAGCGACGCGCUGACCUUCCACUACCUGUUCGCCGUCUUCAGCUGCUUGCAGGUGGGCGGCCGUCAGGGUGCGCGGGCGGCCUCCGCGUGGGCCAGCCUUGGUGAGGCCACGGGUCACUUGUGCUCCCUCCCGUCUGAAAUGCCCGGAGGGCGUCCCCGGGGACGUCCUUGACCCAGCGUCCAGGCCGUGUCCUCGCUCUCAGGACACACGGGGCCACAGCAGGGUGGUGUGCCAGGGGUUACGGUGAGGCCUCCCCGCACACUGUCCCGCCCCCCAAGGAACCUGUUGUCGCCAGCCCAGCUCUGUCCAUGGGUUCCUCAGGGACCCCUCCCCCCCCCCCCAGGGCACCGUCCUUAGCCCAGCCAGUGCGGGGGCUCAUUCUCCCUCCACAGGUUAGAGUAGCUCCCACUUGUGUCCUCAGGGAGGGUGUUGGCCAUUUAAGUUCACACCGAGGGCUUCCCAGUAAGCUGACUGAGGAUGUCACAUUGGGGACACGGGUGGCCUGGCAUGGGGGGGCCUUCCUGGCCCUUGGCUGCCCUGCCCUGCUCCCCGGAGCAGGCAGAAGCCCUGGAGAGGGGCGGCGCCCUGUGCGUUCCCGGGCAGGUGGGUGGGCAGUAUGGCGGCCACAGGACCCUGGCUGCUUGCCCGAGGGCCAGUCCCUGCCCUGACCGGCCGCCCCUCCCUCCAGGGUCUCUUCGUCCUCCUGUUCCACUGCGUGCUCAACAGGGAGGUCCGGAAGCACCUGAAGGGAGUCCUCGCCGGGAAGAAGCUGCACCCGGAUGACUCGGCCACCACGAGGGCCACCCUACUGACGGUAGGCGAUCCCCAGGGACCCUGCGUGGGGCCGGGGGUCCUUGUGGGUGUCCAGACCAAGCGUUAGACACAGCUGCAUGGUCUCGGAGUCCCUCUCAGAGGGGCCAUCACAGAACCCCCUUGGAGAGUGGCACCGAGCCUGACGCCAUCCCUCAUGUCCUGGGGAGAGAGCACAGGGUCUCUAGAUGGGGUCUGUCACGGUCACAGCCCCACUUUUCAAGGUCUCAGAGGACAGGGUGGGACCCCAACGAGAAGCCGUUGCUGUGGGAAGGAAGCCAUUCCCUGACCACCGUGGGGGACUGGGGAUGUGCUCUGUGCCCAGCAGGGGCACAGUCAGGGUGCUGGCACUGGGGCUUGCCAUGGGGACAGAGCCAUCCUCUGUACCCCGGUGGCCUCUGCUCUGCCAGUGACCAUGUCCCCUCCCCCAGCGCUCCCUCAACUGCAACCACACCUACAGCGAGGAGCCCAACAUGUUCCGCACGGCCCUGGGCGAAUCCACAGCCUCGCUGGACAGCACCAUCAGGUCAGGCUGGAGCCAGGCGUCCUCGCUCGUCUCGGGCGGGGGUGGGGGGGGCAACUCUGGGGGCAAAUGCAGGCUGCCAGGCCAGCUGGAAAGGCCCCGGCCAGGGUGCUCUGCUGUUGUAGUUGAUGAGUUUCUCCGUGUGUUCUCGGGGUCUCUCAUGGCAGAGAACCUUCCAGAGCCCCACGGGGCCAUCUUGGCACAUGCCGAAGGUGCUCAGUGAUGUUGGGUGGCCAUGUCGUGCCCCUGAGUGAUGGUGCUGAGCCCACCCUCAUAUCCUCUCUAGGGACGAAGGGGGCCAGAAGCUCAGCGUGUCCUCUGGGCCAGCGCGGGGUGGCCAUGGGGAGCCAGAUUCGUCCUUUGUCCCCAGGAGCACCAAGAAGCCCCACGGUAGGUGCCCCCUGGAAGCCGGUCCCCCAUCAACCUGGGCAUCUCCCUCUCGGGUGGCCAUGGGUGACAGCUUCUGGCCGGCUCUUCUCUGGCCCACGGGCCUCACGGUCACUGGACGUGCAGCUUCGAAGAGAGUCUGCGGCCGCGUCGCAUUCGGAGGGUCAGCGGGGAGACGAUUUCUCCCCAGUGCCCGGGGCCCAGCUGGCCCCAUUCUGCCCCUGGCCUGAGCCUCUGUCCCUCCCGUCCACCCUGCAGGCCACGAUUCAGACUCGGAUAGCGAGCUGUCCCUAGAUGAGCAAAGCAGCUCUUACGCCUCCUCACGCUCAUCGGACAGCGAGGACGACGGG